This 253-nucleotide ribosomal RNA is filed under the name uncultured bacterium. Its description in RNAcentral is "partial 16S ribosomal RNA". It matches the Rfam family "Bacterial small subunit ribosomal RNA", at positions 524 to 776 of the family's 1533-position model. The record is from RNAcentral.
UACGUAGGGUGCAAGCGUUGUCCGGAAUUAUUGGGCGUAAAGAGCUCGUAGGCGGCUUGUCACGUCGACUGUGAAAACCCGAGGCUCAACCUCGGGCCUGCAGUCGAUACGGGCAGGCUAGAGUUCGGCAGGGGAGACUGGAAUUCCUGGUGUAGCGGUGAAAUGCGCAGAUAUCAGGAGGAACACCGGUGGCGAAGGCGGGUCUCUGGGCCGAAACUGACGCUGAGGAGCGAAAGCCAGGGGAGCGAACGGG